UCCAAAUAUUUACCCUCUUAUGGGCAGUCACCUAUUCCCUUGGCUAAAACAACCCUAACAAGAAAUUCCUGUGACCAAAUCAAGACGCAGUCAGAAAAACCCACUUCGAAGAUUUAACACACUGAUAAAGAAGAUGAAAUUUAGGGCUCCUCAGAGAAUUCCUUGCUUCGGUUAUAAUGGACGCCUCAAUCAUCUACAUGCACAGCGUUACUAUUUUACGAGUACCUUUUUUCGUAAGGUACAAGCCACCGAAGCUCGAGCUUCGCUCAAUAGUGGCGGCAGCAGUAGUAGUAACAGCAGCUCUCAGGUUACUUGUUCACCUGUCCCAAUAUCGGCACAACAGCUGAGAUCUGAGGCUACUGGUAUGCAGGUAGCAAUCUCUUAUUGCCUGGUGCAACAGUCGCAACUAUAGUUAUGCUUGGUCUUCUACAUGCCCGACGUCUUUAUGAUGAUCAAAAGGUUGAAGAGGCAAGAGAAAAAGGAACUUUAGAAUUCCGGCCUGAUGCAAAGGCUACUUUCAUGAGAUUGCUUCCACUACGCUCCAUUUCUAGAUUCUGGGGUACCUUGACCAGUGUGGAACUUCCGAUGUGGCUGCGCCCAUAUGCAUAUAAAGGAUGGGCUCGGGCAUUUCAUUCAAGUAAGCAGCCUUUCUAGUUUCUACUUCGUGAUGCUCUGACC
Molecule: non-coding RNA, 678 nt
Organism: Nicotiana tabacum (common tobacco)
Lineage: Eukaryota; Viridiplantae; Streptophyta; Magnoliopsida; Solanales; Solanaceae
Source: RefSeq, a predicted model, not a curated record